AAAAAUUUUUUAUCAACGUGUUUGACUGUAAUACACAUGUGUAUAUUGAGUGGUUUACUUGCCCUGUUCACGCCGGGAAGGAAGAGACCGAAGGCGGCAGACGUUGAGAAAUCUUAACGAAAGUAUGGAUUAGAAUAAAGCAAGUAAGACAAAUGGAAAAGGAAAAAGAAAAAAAAUUUUUACAGAAACAUUUUUAUACUUGUAAAAAGCAACCCUAGUUUGCUUUUUUCAUCGUGAAAUUGCAUUUCGUUUGGAAGCAAGGAGUAUAAGGAAACUGAUAACGAGAGGAUCUCCUCUUUAACACUAGAAAUGUCCAGUCAGCAGAAUGAUCGAGUAAACAAAGUUGAUAGAAUCGAUGGAAAUGAGAAUUCCUAGAUCAAUAGUUAGGUUAUAGCGUAAUUGAAAUUUUCGAGAAUCUGGAAUGUUUCGCUGCGAAUUUCGAGAUAUAGUUACAUAGUAUUCACAUAGCAAAUUGAUUUUUAACCUAACGAUACAACGAUGCAAGUACUUACAAAUAUAAUUCCGUUAACGUUAUACCGAGUGACUACGUAUACUGAAAAAGAUAUUACUGUUGUACAUUAACGCGGGAAUAAGUUAAAAUCUUUCAGCUGCCGAAACUUUUGAAACGAAUCGACAUUUCCUUAAAAUUACAAUUUCGAUUGACUUUGAUUGUAAUUAGCAAUGAUUAAUUGUGGUGGUCAACGUGAACAAGUAUUGUUAAAUUCCACAAAAAAUUACAACGAUUCUUGUAACGAGUAUUUCAAGGAAAGAUAUUACAGAUAAAUAUGUGCAUGUACAGUGUAAUAUUAUAACAAGUUUAAAUUAAUUUGUAACUUUACUUUCAAGAUAUACGUAGGCUUGGAGAAGUCAAAUGGAAAUCAUGGUGCUUCUAGUGUUAAAACAUUUGCACUCUUCCGUAUGAGUUUCGUUAUGUUAGGUAUGAAAAAGAAUAUUAUACUUAUAAAUAUAUAUAUAUAGAUAGAUAGAUAGAUAGAUAGAUAUAACAUACGACGUAAUAUUACAGUUAGAGGAACUUAGAAGAAAAAUGUUAGCGUUAAAUUUACAGUAUUUCUUUCUCAUAAUGAAUUAUGUACACAACGAAUGUAUGUACUUAUCUAUACAUCUGUAUAUAGAGACACGAUCUUCUAAUUAUGAAAGUAUGGUGCCUGUGUACUUUCCGCGUGGCGGAAAUACUAGCUAAUAUUAAUCAAAGUCGGAAUUAAUACAAACUUGAAUAACUUAAUAGGUACAUGUACUUAUAUGUGCUAUACCUGUACUUUGAGAGAAUGCUUGUUGAUCGAGUGUAUAUAUUUUGCGACGUGACUCAUAAAUCACAAAUAUCUGGACACUCGAACGAAUACAUAGCAACGAACACACGGUUAUUGAUAAAACGUGCAAUCGUCCGCUUAUAAAAUCAUUAAAUAACAAACUUUUAAUUGCUCGUUUAAUGUCGACAUUCGAUGAUUGAUCGAUAAUUGAUCAUCGAUGGUAAUCAACCGGUUUUCGUUAGAAAAUUAUUUUGUUGGAAAUUUUGUUCAAAAAUUGUGCCAUAACUCGUUUCACAGACAGCAAUAUUUCAUUAGAUUUAAAACAAAAGAAAAAUCGUCUUUAUUAUAUUAGGUCGUUAACCUGAUCGUAAAUUUUUAUUUGCGCAAAUUUCUAUUUUCCUGUUGAAGAACUCUGAAGAAAAUUGGACCGACUCGACGCGAUAAAUUUUCAUAAAAGAAUACUAUAUUUUAGAUAUUUCUCAGGUGUUUAUACUCGUACACUCUGUGCGUGUGUAUUUACGUCUUUCAACUUUCCAUAAUUGCACGAAUACGUACGUAAAAUCCGUGAUUUGAAUUGUACAAUACAGAAUGUAGGUACAUUCGUCAUUUGACAACGCAUUAUUUUUUACUUGUGACUUUGUCAUUCAAAAUCGGGGCUAACUGGCGGCCCGCGAACCGUUGUCCCUAGUUUCGCCCAUCGCUAGCGCUACCCCCUCCACUACUACUACUACAUUGAAUUUCCCCCACCAAGCAAGUGGAGAGAUCGAUGCAGUGGAGGGGAUAGGCGCUAGCGAUCAGGAAAGUGGGGGCAAGGGCCGCCAGCUAGCCCCGACUCUGACUCUGAUUAAGUUUAUCUUUGAUUGUCAAAUUGCCUUGUCAAAAGUAAGCAAGUAUCCAGAUACUUUUGACUUUUGGGUGGUAGUGUACUUGCGAUUGAUACGAAAAAUUGUGCGCGAUUGCUUCGUGUAACGAGCGAAAUACUCAAAGGAUCGAAAGAUUAACAACGACGAAAGUAUAUACCUAUGUACGUACGAUGCGUAUAUGUAUACGGGAUAUUUUUCUACGUUUCUAGAAUGUCAAUGUCAUCAAUCGUACUUAUGCGGCAAUUCCUUCCGACUAAUUCAGAAAGUAGCUACGAUAAAUUUCUUGUUUAGUCGCAGUCUCUGUAACACGUAUGUAGCGUAUUUGUAAUAUUGUACUUGAUUCUUCUAAUUUCAACGAAUCAGUUAGUUGAAGGAAAAUGGCUGUUGUCCUAUUUUUCAAAAUUCGAAUACACACGGUACUGUGAGAAGGCACGUGGAAAAGUUUCGAAGACGAUUAUUUGCCAAUAUCGACGACAUUUGCAAAUUGUACAAGUUGAAGAAUUUUUUAGUAUUUCUCAUGGCUUACAGGUGACUCGCAAUUUGCAAAAUUGAAUUUGCUUUACUACCAAACUUGUUACCGUCACGGAACGAUAAUUCGUAAAUUAUACCAAUACUAUAUACUAUAUUCGCUAAUAAUACUUAUGCCUCAGUUAUACAGUUCUUCAACUUACAUCCAGUUCAAACAGUUUCCGACUUUCGUCACUUUUGUAUACCACGCUCGUGUUGGCUGAUGUUUUGUAUACCACAUAAAUGUUAUUUUUCUAUCGACGAUAGGAUAUACUUUAUACACGGACAAUUGUUGAGAGAGUAUGUAUUUUGAAAAUUUUUACACUCGUUCUUAGAUAAUUCUCCUCACAUUCUGAAACGCAUUAUAUUACGCGCAACGAGAGAAGAAGAUUCCAAACGAAUCAGUAGAGAUCGACGAAUGUAUUUAGUAUUUGAUAUUUAGUUGAAAAGAAGCCGAAGAGGAAGCAAAUGCUCAAUUGUAUAAAUACAAACGAUAAACGCGACGAUCUUUUGUAUUGUUAACGCAGUGCUACGACAUCGCUUUGACGAUGCAGUUGCAACGUUUAAGAGGCUCAUGCGCGAUCCAUGGGCAUCGAUCGUGUGCGGGCAUCUUCUUACGAAACUUAAUUUGAUCGAUCAGUCUCGACAUCUACAUAUGCAUAUAUCUAUAUAUAUAUGGAUUAUACAGACUAUAUAUAAAUUUAUAUGGAUAAACAUGUAGAUACAAAACGGAAUGUCAAACGCAACUGUCGCGUUACUCUUCUAUUUUUCUAUGCACGAGACUUUUAUAACAUUGUAGACUGUUUAUACGCCGGCCAUUCAAGUACAAUAAAAGACGUACUCUUACCAAAUC
This is a long non-coding RNA of Frieseomelitta varia, 3491 nucleotides long. RefSeq lists it as uncharacterized. The record is from RefSeq and is a predicted model, not a curated record. Lineage: Eukaryota; Metazoa; Arthropoda; Insecta; Hymenoptera; Apidae. The transcript has 2 exons.